This is a long non-coding RNA of Aethalodelphis obliquidens (Pacific white-sided dolphin), 2086 nucleotides long. RefSeq lists it as uncharacterized. Lineage: Eukaryota; Metazoa; Chordata; Mammalia; Artiodactyla; Delphinidae. The record is from RefSeq and is a predicted model, not a curated record. The transcript is spliced from 5 exons.
CCUAGCCGCUCUGCGGCACGUGGGAUCGGGGCACGAACCCGCGUCCCCUGCAUCGUCAGGCGGACUCUCAACCACUGCGCCACCAGGGAAGCCCCUUCCUAAGUUUUGUACACUCAUAUUUGCAGUUGCCAGCGUCUUUUGAACACUCUUCUGACGUUUGGGGAAUUUCCUCCAUUUUGAGGCCUGCUUCCUAAGGCACAAGCCAGAACUUAGACUCCGAGAUGGAGAUGGAAAGUAGAAGCAUGCUUCCUAACAAGAGGCAUUCUUCCGGCUUAGCUGCUGGCUGAGCAAGACUAGAUUUCUUGACAUACCUGGGAGCUCUCAGAGAAAAGACUUUAUUGACUUUAAGGCUAUGUUUACAAGUCAACAGCUCAGAAAUAUUUUUGCUAUGAAAACCAUUUGGUGGCUCUACAAGCACAGGUUUAGAUAUUAUCUAUGGACUUCCUGUCAUGAAGAUGAAGAUUUAAAUAUCUUGUCUCCUCCCCUCUUCCCGAACCCAGUCAUAAACACUUCUCUGCUGUUCAUCUUCCUGACUGAGAUAUACUGUAAGUUUAAUUCACUCAAUGUUCAGGGUUAACCUUAUUAUGACUCUGGAGGCUAUUCGGUAUUGAGUCAUCUAGUAAACAUCUAUGAUUACUUUUCCUUUACUGCACAACUUGUAGUUUUCCCUCAGUUAAGAAUUGUUGUUUUCUCAUUUACCUAGUUUUCUAGGUACAUGCUUACCAUUUCUUGGUAUACUUGUCUACCAGAUGUUUAAAUAUCUUCUCAGUAUAUUUCUUUAGGUUGAGUAUUAUAUCAAUUUUAUUUUCUUAAGCUUCUUCUGGAGCAUUUGGGCUUGUAUGAGUCCAGAUGGGUUGCCCCCAUGCUUGGUGCAUGAUUCUGGGUAAAUAUGAGAAUUCCUUUGCAUUCAUCCUGUGUUGGAUCUCAUUUAUUCUGAAAAGCAUGUCUUCUUUUUUCUUGAUCUACUCCAUUGUUUGGGUUGUACAUAUCCUUCAGUAACUCUCUGAGAAAAAGUAUGUGUGUGUGGAAUGAAGGUAAAGUUUUUCAGUGAAAGAUUUUUCUCCUCACAACUUAGUUGUAAAGCUGGCCAGACAUUUAAUAUUAGCUAAAAAUCAUUUCCCUUCGGAAUUUGGAAUGCAUUGCUCCAUUUUCUUCUAACUUCCUGUGUUGCUGUUGAGAAGUUCAGAGUCAUUUUGGUUCCUGUUACUUUGUAUGUGACCUUGCCCCCACUCCCUUCUCUCUGGAAACUUGUAGGAUCUUCUCUCUGUCUUCUGUGCUCUGAAAUAUCUCUAUGAUGUAUCUUGGUGGGGGCCUAUUUUCAUUGCUGGACACUCAGUAAGCCCUUUCACACUAGAAAUAUAUAUCCAGCAAUUUUCAGAAACCUUAAAUUAUUUCAUUGAUGAAAUAAUUGUUUUCUCUAGUCUCUCUUCGAGGAACUUCUGGACUUGUCCUUUAAUUUGCUUAUGUUUUCCCUCUUAUUUUUCAAGUUUUUUUAAUUUUUGUUUUCUUAUUGCAAGAUUUCUUCUAUAUUCUAUUCCAAUAUACCUAUUGAGUUUUCAUUUUUAGAACAAUGUUUACAUUUUUUUGUUGUUGUUCUCUGUAACUCUGUUUUUUUUGGAGCUUCCUAUUCUUGUUUCGUUAAUUCAGAAGCUUCUACUCUCUUCUGUAGAUAUUAAUAGUAAUAAAAAAAUUUUUUUCCUUGCCAUCCUAAUCAUUGUUUACUUCAAGUUGCCUUUAUCUAUUUAUAUAUUUUAUUCCGAUAUUUAUGUGAGAGGUUAUCCUCAGAUGUCUGAUAAUUCUAAAUUGUUUGUUAGUGCAUGAUUAAGGGUGUUCUAAUAAAAAGCUGAGUGAAACUCCCAGUUCAUGGAUGACUUUCAUUUUUUUCUGUAGGUAGGUGAUGUGGGUCAUCUGUUUGUUUUGGAACUUCUAUUGUCUGCUUUUAAGUGAUUCUUCUUGGGUGUUCAGAUUCCCCAUUGAAUGUACUUACAUUAUCUAUAUCCCCAUGUGGAGAAUAUAGACCCACUGCCUGUAUUCUGAGAGCUGCACUGGGAGCAGAGGCUGGAAAUAUAAGCUUCGAAUAUGCAUA